Molecule: long non-coding RNA, 494 nt
Organism: Xiphophorus couchianus (Monterrey platyfish)
Lineage: Eukaryota; Metazoa; Chordata; Actinopteri; Cyprinodontiformes; Poeciliidae
Exons: 5
Source: RefSeq, a predicted model, not a curated record
AGAAGCUACAGACUGAUAGGAGGAACCAAAGAGCUCUGUAAAGGUGAGAGUGUAGGAAGAAGAGGAGAGGUAGUAGAAAAGUGCAGAAGGAAGUCAGUGCGUAUUGUUGGAAUCCCCAUGAUCAAAUGCAGGAGGUAAGAUGGCUGGAGAGGUGGAGCUGCAAAGGACAACCAGUCUCUGAGAGGCGUACUUGACAGGGAGUGCCAUCAGCCAGCAUCAGCUCAGGCAGCGCAGCACUCUCCUCCCCCGCAGAUGCACCUUGGGCCAGCAGCAGUCUCCUCCUCUUCUUUGUUCAGCGCAUCUGUUCAGCAUCAGAUGACAGCACUGAUUAGCCUCACUCAGGGUCUUAAUAAGACAACCGGAGUACAGAGAGCCAGUGCAAGGGUGAACUUCUCCCAGAUGCCUUCACCAUCUCCCCCACUGCCUCCUGGCGGAUGCUCCUCACUCCAUGUGUGUCCCAGCCCACCUGUUCAGCCCUCAUUACUGUCAGCCCC